AUGGUGUCCUCCAGAAAAAAGUAUUCCAGGAAAUCUGGGAAGCCAUCCAUGGAAGAUUAGUUACCAGAGCCUAUGACUUUGAGACUGAAGAUAAGAAAGAUCUGAGUGGCUCAGAGGAAGAUGCUAUUGAAGGGAAGACUACAGUCAUUGAGAAACGUAGGAAGAAAAGAUCUUCUGCAGGAGUAGUUGAAGAUAUGUGGGGUGAAGUACAGAGUAUGCUGGAAGGAGUUGGAGUUAACAUUAACAAGGCUCUUCUUGCCAAGAGAAAGAGACUAGAAAUGUAUACCAAGGCUUCUCUCAAAACUAGCAACCAGAAAAUCAAACAUGUUUGGAAAACACAAGAUCAAAGGUAGAAACUUAACCAAGAAUAUUCUCAGCAGUUUCUGACUUUGUUUCAGCAGUGGGAUUUAGAUAUGCAGAAAGCUGAGGAACAAGAAGAAAAAAUACUUAAUAUGUUUCAACAGCAACAAAAGAUUCUUCAACAAUCUAGAAUUGUUCAGAGCCAGAGACUGAAAACAAUUAGACAGUUAUAUGAGCAGUUCAUAAAGAGUAUGGAAGAGUUGGAGAAGAAUCAUGAUAAUCUACUUACUGGUGCACAAAAUGAAUUUAAAAAAGAAAUGGCUAUGUUGCAGAAAAAAAUUAUGAUGGAAACUCAGCAGCAAGAGAUAGCAAGUGUUAGGAAGUCUCUUCAAUCCAUGUUAUUCUGAUGACUCUUUGAAGAAAGAGCUUGAACCUAAGUAAUAUGAUACAAUUAUAUUAGCUAAGAAGCAUAUUGUAAGUCUUUAGUAGCUUAAUUAUAACAUCUUUAAUAAUAAAUCUCUUUCAUUGUAAGACUUCUCUUUCGGUUAAGUCAAAUCUAAACAGUUAUGUGAGUUAGCAACUACUCCUAAAGAAUAUGUCUUGAGUUUUCAGCUCUUUAGUAAUGAUAGUGAAUUUUUCUCUCUUAACACUGUCAAUUAAAUAAAGACAAUUUAAUUU
Molecule: RNA transcript, 978 nt
Organism: Cebus imitator (Panamanian white-faced capuchin)
Lineage: Eukaryota; Metazoa; Chordata; Mammalia; Primates; Cebidae
Gene name: synaptonemal complex protein 3-like
Exons: 1
Source: RefSeq, a predicted model, not a curated record